AACGAACGCUGGCGGCAGGCCUAACACAUGCAAGUCGAAGGAGAAGCUUGACUUCGGUCGAGUGGAAACUGGCGCACGGGUGAGUAACGCGUGGGAAUCUACCCUGAGGUGGGGAAUAACCGCUGGAAACGGCGGCUAAUACCGCAUGUGCCCUAUGGGGCAAAGCUCCGGCGCCUUGGGAUGAGCCCGCGUUAGAUUAGGUAGUUGGUGAGGUAAAAGCUCACCAAGCCGACGAUCUAUAGCUGGUCUGAGAGGAUGAUCAGCCACACUGGGACUGAGACACGGCCCAGACUCCUACGGGAGGCAGCAGUGGGGAAUAUUGGACAAUGGGGGCAACCCUGAUCCAGCCAUGCCGCGUGCGUGAAGAAGGCCUUAGGGUUGUAAAGCGCUUUCACUGGUGAAGAUGAUGACGGUAACCAGAGAAGAAGCCCCGGCUAACUCCG
Molecule: ribosomal RNA, 443 nt
Filed under: uncultured Alphaproteobacteria bacterium
Lineage: Bacteria; Pseudomonadati; Pseudomonadota; Alphaproteobacteria
Description: bacterial SSU rRNA
Rfam family: Bacterial small subunit ribosomal RNA
Source: RNAcentral